UAAUAUUUCAGAUCGUGAUAAAAUCAAGUGUGACCAACUUCUAUUACGGUAUAUACCGAAUAUUCGGCAUUUUGAAGGAUUUUCAUAUCUAACAUGCUCAACCUGGAGGACUACAUGGAGAUGAUCGAGCACUUGUCCCAAGAGCUGCUCGAGCUCAAUCUUGCAGUACGUGCACUGGACAAAAAGGCGCACCUCUUCUUCUAGUAGUGUAAGCGAGUUGAGCUGCAGCACGAGACCAUGGACACUGAAUUCCCCAGCCUGGACGGUGAGUACUUCAAGGUGGUUGAGUACGCCGACGAGAAAGUGGCCAUCGCGACGCAAAUCCAUGAGCUGGUCGAGCGCUGUUUGCGGCGCCUGACAGUGAGCUAUUCAAGUUUAACUGCGAACUGGCCACCACUUCCCUGACAGAAGCUGCCGAUUCGGUGGUGAGCCAGCCCACAGACAAUCACAGAAACAGGGACAAUCUGUGCUGAACACGCCGCCGCCAGCGGCAAUGCCACGGUCACCUACAACCUGCAGCAGCUUAGUGGAGGAGCCUCCGAUUUCAAUCCCACGAAAGACCAGUCUGAAGGCCAGCUGUGAAGCGGCUGGUACCACGGCCGAUUUCUGGUUCCGCCUGCAACCAGAGUAGUCUACAGCAGUCACCAGCUGUGCAGCCGGAGUCACAAGCAGCUCGCAUCACUCUCACCAAUCCCAAACGCACCACACCAGCCACGGCUGGUGACAUAGCUACGGCCACGAGCAUGGACACCACGACAGCAGCCACAGCGGGCACAGCAGUCACCACCAGGAGAAUCAGAAGAAGCUUAACACGGCCCUUCCGCUGCCCACGUCUCUGGCUGUAGGUGGGCACCUUCACGUUCGGCGGCAACUUCAUUGUCUCGUCAACCUUAUCCAUGAGUGUGAAUUCGGUGAACAUGCUCUUUACGGCGACGGCUGCGGCUGCGGCCUCGACGAAUCUCUCGGCCGGUAGCCUGACCCACGGCUCGCUCUCUAUGACGUCGGCAGGAACCGUUGGUUUGACGCGCAAGCCCGCCAACGUGGCUGGAGGCGUACAGCAGCCAGCCAAUCGAUAGUGGCCACCAAACAGAUGCGGCAUGAAUGCAGGACGACCAGUUUGAAGGUCAGCUAUGAAGCUAUCCAUGAAUCGGCUGGUACCACGGCCGAAUUCUGGUACCUCUCCAUGACGGUAGCAGGAGCCGUUGGUUUCGCGGGCUACAAUUCCCAAUCCCCAGAACGGGCAACGUGUAUUUGCCAGGCAAUAAGUGAAUUAAACGAUAAAGUCGAACAAUUAAA
This is a long non-coding RNA of Drosophila serrata, 1296 nucleotides long. Lineage: Eukaryota; Metazoa; Arthropoda; Insecta; Diptera; Drosophilidae. The record is from RefSeq and is a predicted model, not a curated record.